ACCUCUUACCUAGUCGUUCACGCACUUUGUUCGUGGUUGGUCGCGCAGCGUUUUCGUCGUCGCCUGUUUCGCUGUCGUCGCACGUUCGAAUUGAAGGAAAACAAAAAGAAAAAAACAAAACUAAUCACAAUUAUUAUCCGUCGCCUCGACACACGUUUCGUCGUCGUUGUCGUCUUUUUGCCGCAAAAAUCGAACCCCAAGAAUAAAUCCAAAAAGGGUCUGUAAUUUAAAAUAAUAAUUCUCGAGCCCCUCUUGGUCUUCGAAAUAAACAAAACAAAAAUUAUAAUUUGAUUAUCUGAAUAUUAAUUUUAAUAACAAUAAUUUGGAGUAGCCCGUUGUCGUCGUCGUCGUUCGCCUUCGUAAUUUUUUGAUCAAUCAAAGCCAAACCAACAAUAUUGUGCAACAACAUUAACUGGACUGUUGUACAGGGACACAUAAACACAAUCAACGAACUUGGCGAUGCACACGAACACAACAGUUUAAAUUUAAUUAGUGCCAGAUGUAACUACACCGUUAAUUGAAUAUUACCGUCGCGCGUUAAAUCGUCCGUUUUGUGGGCUUUGUGAAUCCGCUAUACCCUUUGCGAAAAACAAACUUGACCAAAACAUCAUCCAAUUAGUAUCCUCUCUGUUGCUCCCAUUUUAUUUUUGUUUAUUUUGGAUUGCCUUCUAUCUCUGUCUAUCGUUGGUCUGCCAUAAUUUUUAAGGAUUUACAGUUGUUUUAUUCUGAAAUUUUAAUUGGUCGCACAUUUUUGUGUCUCUUUUCAAAUAAAAGAUAAAUAUAUUAAUUUAAAGAAAAAAAACCGUAAUUAAGAAAAUUGUUGACAAAGGUUAAAGUGAUAAAAAAUACCCUCCUUCCUUUGAACGUGUUUUAUAAUUUAAUAAAUUUUAGAAAAUAUUUAAAGAUUUUGUGAUUCAAGUGUUUUAUAAAAUAAAAACAAGAAAAUAAGCAAAUUUUUUGACCCAAAGUCAAGAGUGUUAGAAAAAAAAGGAUAAUUAAUUUUUUUGAUCCUAGUUGGAUUAAUAAACAGCCGUCAAAAUUCUUGAUAAAGUGGCCUCAAUAGGCGCCAACACGCUUAAUUUUACGGAUUUAGGGAGCCCCUACGAGGGGCCCCCUAGUACACCGCAAUCGGGUAUGGAUGCACCCGACGCACCACAUACCCCAAAAUAUAUGGACGGGGGUACAACAACAGCCAACAUACCGGGGAAAUCGGCUUUUGUUGAGCUGCAACAACAUGGCUAUGGUGCUAUCCGAAGUGGUUAUCAACACUUUGGACCCCAAGGUGGACAAGAUUCCGGUUUUCCAAGUCCUCGUAGUGCUUUAGGUUAUCCAUUCCCGCCCAUGCAUCAAAAUUCAUAUGCGUCAAGUUAUCACUUAAGCAGUUAUGCGCCACCCUGUUCAAGUCCGCCAAAAGAUGAUAAAUGUGAAGAUACAGGAUUACGGGUGAAUGGAAAAGGGAAAAAGAUGCGAAAACCUAGAACAAUUUAUAGUUCGUUGCAAUUACAACAAUUAAAUCGUCGGUUUCAACGGACGCAAUAUUUAGCACUGCCGGAACGUGCCGAAUUAGCAGCUAGUUUAGGAUUAACGCAAACACAAGUGAAAAUUUGGUUCCAAAAUAGAAGAUCAAAGUACAAAAAAAUGAUGAAAGCCGCACAAGGUCCUGGUGCUGGAAGUGGAAUGCCAUUAAGUAGUGGACAAAAUCCUGGUUCUCAUAGUCCAAAUCAAAAUAUGCAUAGUGGCGGUAAUAACGGCGGUGGAUCGAAUAGCGGGUCGCCAUCUCAUUACCUACCUCCUGGACAUAGCCCGACACCAUCAAGUACGCCUGUGUCCGAAUUAUCACCUGAAUUUCCUCCAACUGGUUUAAGUCCGCCCACGCAAGCACCCUGGGAUCAAAAACCACAUUGGAUAGAUCAUAAACCUCCGCCGCAAAUGGUGCCACAACCACCUCAUCCAACGCACCAGCCAACGUAUCAUACCACACCGCAAAUGGGUGGCUAUUGGUAUCAACCAGAAACAAAUCCGUCGUUACUAACUUUUGAUCCAGCGAAUGGUAAGGCCAAUCAACAACUGGAUCGACUUGUAGAGGUCCCGUUCUGGGGUGGCGUACAAAGAACGUACCACUGACUUAGAUGGCUGUCAUCGUCGUGAAUAUAGUCAGAAGCGGUGGAAUGAGUCGACGACAGCUAUACCAUAUGGACUUGCAGAUUAUUCCUGGUAUGGCCUGCCGUUUAACACCAAAACCGAUCCUAUUUACAUAGAUAAAUCGUAAAUUUACAAAUUAUAAAAAUAAAAAUAAUAAAAAAAAAAGCAAACAAAAAAAACACCACAAUAUAAUAUAAGAAAAAGCAAAAACUGUAAUUAUUAUUAUUAAUAUUGAUUAUUUUCAUAGAAUUAAGUUAAAUUCUAAUGGAAUCAAAAAAAUUUAAUAUUAGUAGUUAAAAAAUUAAAAUAAAAAAAAAACAAACAAUAAUUAAAAAAAAAUAAAACUUACAAACAUUCCUUAAAUACAAUUUUCAAAAUAAUAUUUGUUUUGUACCUAUAUAUACAUAUAUAUUUUUUUCUUUUUUAUUUUGUAAUUUUAAUUAGAGCCUUGUAAUAUAUUGGAAUAAAGUACAUAAUAAUUUUAAUGAACAUUUAUUAUAUAAACAAAAAAAAAUAAUGUAGUUAAUAGAUAAAUCGUAUGUAUAAAAUUGUAAAAUCAAAACGAAAAAUAAAAAAAUAAAAACAAUACAAAAUUUUUAAAAUCCAGGCUUUAAAAUAAAAAUAAAAAUUUA
Molecule: RNA transcript, 2774 nt
Organism: Eupeodes corollae
Lineage: Eukaryota; Metazoa; Arthropoda; Insecta; Diptera; Syrphidae
Gene: Dll
Gene name: homeotic protein distal-less
Exons: 8
Source: RefSeq, a predicted model, not a curated record